AACGAACGCUGGCGGCAUGCCUAACACAUGCAAGUCGAACGAGACCUUCGGGUCUAGUGGCGCACGGGUGCGUAACGCGUGGGAACCUGCCCUUAGGUUCGGAAUAACUCCCCGAAAGGGGUGCUAAUACCGGAUAAUGUCUUCGGACCAAAGAUUUAUCGCCUUUGGAUGGGCCCGCGUUGGAUUAGCUAGUUGGUAGGGUAAAAGCCUACCAAGGCGACGAUCCAUAGCUGGUCUGAGAGGAUGAUCAGCCACACUGGGACUGAGACACGGCCCAGACUCCUACGGGAAGCAGCAGUGGGGAAUAUUGGACAAUGGGCGAAAGCCUGAUCCAGCAAUGCCGGGGGAGUGAGGAAGGCCUUAGGGUUGUAAAGCUCUUUUACCCGGGAUGAUAAUGACAGUACUGGGAGAAUAAGCUCCGGCUAACUCCGUG
RNAcentral lists this ribosomal RNA (433 nucleotides) under uncultured bacterium. RNAcentral describes it as "partial 16S ribosomal RNA". It matches the Rfam family "Bacterial small subunit ribosomal RNA", at positions 29 to 507 of the family's 1533-position model. The record is from RNAcentral.